This 253-nucleotide ribosomal RNA is filed under the name uncultured bacterium. Its description in RNAcentral is "partial 16S ribosomal RNA". It matches the Rfam family "Bacterial small subunit ribosomal RNA", at positions 524 to 776 of the family's 1533-position model. The record is from RNAcentral.
UACGGAGGGUGCAAGCGUUAAUCGGAAUUACUGGGCGUAAAGCGCGCGUAGGUGGUUUGUUAAGUUGGAUGUGAAAUCCCCGGGCUCAACCUGGGAACUUCAUCCAAAACUGGCAAGCUAGAGUAUGGUAGAGGGUGGUGGAAUUUCCUGUGUAGCGGUGAAAUGCGUAGAUAUAGGAAGGAACACCAGUGGCGAAGGCGACCACCUGGACUGAUACUGACACUGAGGUGCGAAAGCGUGGGGAGCAAACAGG